GUGCUCGCUUCGGCAGCACAUAUACUAAAACUGGAACAAUACAGAGAAGAUUAGCAUGGCUCCUGCGCAAGGAUGACACUCAAAUUUGUGAAGCGUUUUGGUACUCA
This is a small nuclear RNA of Mastomys coucha (southern multimammate mouse), 107 nucleotides long. NCBI's taxonomy places the organism in Eukaryota, Metazoa, Chordata, Mammalia, Rodentia, Muridae. The record is from RefSeq and is a predicted model, not a curated record.